This 583-nucleotide ribosomal RNA is filed under the name Psephactus remiger. RNAcentral describes it as "partial large subunit ribosomal RNA". The stretch from base 204 to 428 matches the Rfam family "Archaeal large subunit ribosomal RNA", at positions 1787 to 2143 of the family's 2987-position model. The record is from RNAcentral. Lineage: Eukaryota; Metazoa; Arthropoda; Insecta; Coleoptera; Cerambycidae.
UUCUCGAAUUUAGAAGAGCUAUUGAUUUUACUGUAAUAAUUAUUUAAAAUAAGAAAUGAAACGUUAAUAUAUCUAGUUUUUAAAGAAAAUUUAAUUUUGUUAUAUCUUAGGGGAUGAGCUCUAUAUAGGAUUAGAAGUUUUGUUAUAACUGAUUUAUUUAAAUAUAAUUUUUAAUUAAUUAAGUAAUAAUGAUAAAAUUAGUAUAAGAUAAGGUUAAGGAAUUCGGCAAAUAUUUUUCACCUGUUUAUUAAAAACAUGGCCUUUUGAUUUUUAUUUAAGGUCUGGCCUGCCCACUGAGGCCGCGGUAUUUUGACCGUGCAAAGGUAGCAUAAUCAUUAGUUUUUUAAUUGAAAGCUGGAAUGAAUGGUCGGAUGAGAAAAUGGCUGUCUCUAUCUUAUAGAAUUUAACUUUUAAGUAAAAAGGCUUAAAUGUUAUUAAAAGACGAGAAGACCCUAUAGAGUUUUAUUUUGGUUGGGGAGACUGAAAAAUUAAAUUAACUUUUGAUUGAAAGAUAAAAUUACCUUAGGGAUAACAGCGUAAUCCUUCCUAGAGUUCUAAUCGAAGGGAGGGUUUGCGACCUCGA